This 1098-nucleotide ribosomal RNA is filed under the name uncultured bacterium. RNAcentral describes it as "bacterial SSU rRNA". The stretch from base 545 to 1098 matches the Rfam family "Bacterial small subunit ribosomal RNA", at positions 1 to 548 of the family's 1533-position model. The record is from RNAcentral.
AGAGUUUGAUCCUGGCUCAGAUUGAACGCUGGCGGAAUGCUUUACACAUGCAAGUCGAACGGCAGCACGGGAGCUUGCUCCUGGUGGCGAGUGGCGAACGGGUGAGUAACAUAUCGGAACGUACCUAGUAAUGGGGGAUAACUAGUCGAAAGAUUAGCUAAUACCGCAUACGCCCUGAGGGGGAAAGCGGGGGAUCGUAAGACCUCGCGUUAUUAGAGCGGCCGAUAUCUGAUUAGCUAGUUGGUGGGGUAAAAGCCUACCAAGGCGACGAUCAGUAGCUGGUCUGAGAGGACGACCAGCCACACUGGAACUGAGACACGGUCCAGACUCCUACGGGAGGCAGCAGUGGGGAAUUUUGGACAAUGGGCGCAAGCCUGAUCCAGCCAUUCCGCGUGAGUGAAGAAGGCCUUCGGGUUGUAAAGCUCUUUCGCAAGGGAAGAAACGAUGCAGUCGAAUAAAGCKGCSKYRAKSWCGGKACCYYSAYAMGWAGYACCGGCUAACUACGWGCYAGCCUAGSCKCGRKAAKACGUWGGGUGCGACGMRUUCAGAUUAGAGUUUGAUCCUGGCUCAGAUUGAACGCUGGCGGAAUGCUUUACACAUGCAAGUCGAACGGCAGCACGGGAGCUUGCUCCUGGUGGCGAGUGGCGAACGGGUGAGUAACAUAUCGGAACGUACCUAGUAAUGGGGGAUAACUAGUCGAAAGAUUAGCUAAUACCGCAUACGCCCUGAGGGGGAAAGCGGGGGAUCGUAAGACCUCGCGUUAUUAGAGCGGCCGAUAUCUGAUUAGCUAGUUGGUGGGGUAAAAGCCUACCAAGGCGACGAUCAGUAGCUGGUCUGAGAGGACGACCAGCCACACUGGAACUGAGACACGGUCCAGACUCCUACGGGAGGCAGCAGUGGGGAAUUUUGGACAAUGGGCGCAAGCCUGAUCCAGCCAUUCCGCGUGAGUGAAGAAGGCCUUCGGGUUGUAAAGCUCUUUCGCAAGGGAAGAAACGAUGCAGUCGAAUAAACUGCGUUAAUGACGGUACCUUGAUAAGAAGCACCGGCUAACUACGUGCCAGCAGCCGCGGUAAUACGUAGGGUGCGAGCGUUAAUUAA